Molecule: ribosomal RNA, 303 nt
Filed under: uncultured bacterium
Lineage: Bacteria
Description: partial 16S ribosomal RNA
Rfam family: Bacterial small subunit ribosomal RNA
Source: RNAcentral
AGCAGUAGCCGCGGUAAUACGGAGGGUGCAAGCGUUAAUCGGAAUUACUGGGCGUAAAGCGCACGCAGGCGGUCUGACAAGUCAGAUGUGAAAUCCCCGGGCUUAACCUGGGAACUGCAUUUGAAACUGUCAGGCUGGAGUCUUGUAGAGGGGGGUGGAAUUCCAGGUGUAGCGGUGAAAUGCGUAGAGAUCUGGAGGAAUACCGGUGGCGAAGGCGGCCCCCUGGACAAAGACUGACGCUCAGGUGCGAAAGCGUGGGGAGCAAACAGGAUUAGAUACCCGUGUAGUCCUGUCUCUUAUACA